CGCCCCUCUGAUCCGCUUCUUCAAUGGGUUUUGAGAAGGAGGUGAGGAGAGAGGACGCAAGGAGUAAACAAUUCUCCCCUUAACUUCUUCCUUCCUCCAUCCUUGAUUGAUUUGUUCUCUCAACAAAGACAAAGCUGAACGUGAUCAAUCAAUGAGCCAGUGAUUGAAUGGCAAUUGCAGGUUCAGGCAAUAAAUAUACUCCCAGCUAGUAUGGCAACUGAGCAAGGCAGUAAAUCACAGUGGGUUUAAGUGUUCCAUUUGGAAACUAUAGUGGUGGCUUGUCUGUUGGUACUUAGAUAUGGCUUUUGGAAUUAAUUUGUGGAUCGUGUUGCUUUGCUCCAUAUUCUCAGAACAUUUAAGAUCUACUUGUGCUCCACAUGGUAAGGCAUAAACAAUACAUUGUGUUUUGUUGAAGACCAGCCUUAAAAUUGCGGCGACUCAUAAUUCCCUUAAUCUGUUUAGAUGCCCAGAGAUUAAGAGGCUACAUGUAUUCUGGCUCUUCCCAAGUGGAAGAUGAACAGAAACAACCAGGUGACGGCUAUCCUCAGGAUCCAAUCAAACCAACUUUUAGUACUUCAGGAUCUGUCCAGAGUGAUGCUACUCCCAGAGAGACUGGCCCCAACACCCAUAACCAGGAACUAUCCCGCAGAGGCUCUGCUUCAAGCUCUAUCCAGCCUGCCCCAAGAAUGUUAGGCCUCUCUGGAUCUAUAGCCAGUAGAACCUCUGUCAGCCACAACAAGCGUCACACCCGUGCCAGUAUAACCUCAGGCCAAAGUGUCACCAACCCUAGUGCAGUGAAGAUGGUUUCAAAUUGGGAAGCAAAGGGAAUCCAGCCCAAAACCUUUCCAUUACAGCCUCAUUCAAGCAACUCUGGAUCUGUUCAGAAUUUCCUGGGAAGCCAUUUAUUCAAAGCAAACCCCCAGAAUUCUGUGGCACAAAGUGGAAUCUACCAGUCCGUAAGGGAAAUGGCUUCCACCCCUUACCUUCAAGCUCCCUCACGUGGUUCUUCAGGAACUUCACUUAGACCAGGUCCUCUGCAUUUUGGGUCUACUGAAGGUGGGAGUGCAACAAAUGCAUACAAGCCCAGCUUCUCUCAAUAUGUCAAGCCAUACCAGAGUAGAUAUGCCUCCGCCAGUAGUGGUUCAACUUCUAGUCAAUAUGCCCAGAGUAUAGAUGUUGCCUCCAAAAGCAGCAGUAUCCCUAUACUUAGCCUGGGGUCUAGCUCCAGUCUCUUUGCCCCGAGUUCUACGCCUAGUAAAAACUCCUAUGGAACCUACAAGCCUGGCUCUACCCUUGGUGCAACACCACGCCAGAGCAUGUUUACCGCUAACCAGGGUGGCAGUGCUUCAAUCUACAGCCAGAAUGCCCUUGCCGCCAACCAGAAGCCAGGUAGCACUACACCUGCCGACAGCAACCACAGGCAAGUCUCUGGUCAGGUGGGGGACUACCAGCCUAGUUAUGUUGCCAGUAGUGGGCCAAUCUCCAUCCUUUCCAGUUCUAACCAGGGUGGCAGUGCUUCAAUCUACAGCCAGAAUGUCCUUGCCGCCAACCAGAAGCCAAGCAGCACUACACCUGCCGACAGCAACCACAGACAAGUCUCUGGUCAGGUGGGGGACUACCAGCCUAGUUAUGUUGCCAGUAGUGGGCCAAUCUCCAUCCUUUCCAGUUCUAACCAGGGUGGCAGUGCUUCAAUCUACAGCCAGAAUGUCCUUGCCGCCAACCAGAAGCCAAGCAGCACUACACCUGCCGACAGCAACCACAGACAAGUCUCUGGUCAGGUGGGGGACUACCAGCCUAGUUAUGUUGCCAGUAGUGGGCCAAUCUCCAUCCUUUCCAGUUCUAACCAGGGUGGCAGUGCUUCAAUCUACAGCCAGAAUGUCCUUGCCGCCAACCAGAAGCCAAGCAGCACUACACCUGCCGACAGCAACCACAGUUCUAACCAGGGUGGCAGUGCUUCAAUCUACAGCCAGAAUGUCCUUGCCGCCAACCAGAAGCCAAGCAGCACUACACCUGCCGACAGCAACCACAGGCAAGUCUCUGGUCAGGUGGGGGACUACCAGCCUAGUUAUGUUGCCAGUAGUGGGCCAAUCUCCAUCCUUUCCAGUUCUAACCAGGGUGGCAGUGCUUCAACCGAUGUCCAGGAACCAAGCAACUCUAAACCUGCCCCCAGGCAAAGCUAUCAGCGCAGCUAUACUCCCAAUGCUGUGAAGUCUAUCCCUAGCUAUGCCAGAGGACCUACCCAGAGCAGUACCACCACACCUCAAAGCGUUGUUUUGGUCUACAACAUCCCAGCACGCUACGGUGGCACUCAUAUCCGUCGGCUCAAAGACCGUAUUCAUAGUGGGCGUAGUGCCUCCACUAGCCACUCCAAAACCAGCUCAAGUGUUAACAAGCCACAGCAAAACCACACUCUACCUGCCAAACAGGAGGGUCCCAGCACUCCCUACGUCCAAGUCUCACACUCUACUAGAUGGGAGCCCAGAACAUGACUAAGUGAGAGCUGUAACCACCAGUUGAG
RNAcentral lists this long non-coding RNA (2518 nucleotides) under Oncorhynchus kisutch (coho salmon). RNAcentral describes it as "lncRNA (ENSOKIG00005031095.1)". The record is from RNAcentral. Lineage: Eukaryota; Metazoa; Chordata; Actinopteri; Salmoniformes; Salmonidae.